GAUGAACGCUGGCGGCGUGCCUAAUACAUGCAAGUCGAGCGAACAGACGAGGAGCUUGCUCCUCUGACGUUAGCGGCGGACGGGUGAGUAACACGUGGAUAACCUACCUAUAAGACUGGGAUAACUUCGGGAAACCGGAGCUAAUACCGGAUAAUAUAUUGAACCGCAUGGUUCAAUAGUGAAAGACGGUUUUGCUGUCACUUAUAGAUGGAUCGGCACCGCAUUAGCUAGUUGGUAAGGUAACGGCUUACCAAGGCAACGAUGCGUAGCCGACCUGAGAGGGUGAUCGGCCACACUGGAACUGAGACACGGUCCAGACUCCUACGGGAGGCAGCAGUAGGGAAUCUUCCGCAAUGGGCGAAAGCUUGACGGAGCAACGCCGCGUGAGUGAUGAAGGUCUUCGGAUCGUAAAACUCUGUUAUUAGGGAAGAACAAAUGUGUAAGUAACUAUGCACGUCUUGACGGUACCUAAUCAGAAAGCCACGGCUAACUACGUG
Molecule: ribosomal RNA, 497 nt
Filed under: uncultured bacterium
Lineage: Bacteria
Description: partial 16S ribosomal RNA
Rfam family: Bacterial small subunit ribosomal RNA
Source: RNAcentral